AGAACGAACGCUGGCGGCAGGCCUAAUACAUGCAAGUCGAACGCACUCUUCGGAGUGAGUGGCAGACGGGUGAGUAACGCGUGGGAACCUUCCCAAUGGUACGGAAUAACUCCGGGAAACCGGUGCUAAUACCGUAUAAGCCCCUCGGGGGAAAGAUUUAUCGCCAUUGGAUGGGCCCGCGUCGGAUUAGCUAGUUGGUAAGGUAAUGGCUUACCAAGGCUACGAUCCGUAGCUGGUCUGAGAGGAUGAUCAGCCACACUGGGACUGAGACACGGCCCAGACUCCUACGGGAGGCAGCAGUAGGGAAUCUUGGACAAUGGGCGAAAGCCUGAUCCAGCCAUGCCGCGUGAGUGAAGAAGGCCUUAGGGUUGUAAAGCUCUUUUGGCGGGGACGAGUAAUGACGGUACCCGCAGAAUAAGCCCCGGCUAACUUCGUGCCAGCAGCCGC
This 447-nucleotide ribosomal RNA is filed under the name uncultured bacterium. Its description in RNAcentral is "SSU rRNA". It matches the Rfam family "Bacterial small subunit ribosomal RNA", at positions 26 to 518 of the family's 1533-position model. The record is from RNAcentral.